Molecule: ribosomal RNA, 560 nt
Filed under: Skeletonema menzelii
Lineage: Eukaryota; Bacillariophyta; Thalassiosirophyceae; Thalassiosirales; Thalassiosiraceae
Description: partial Eukaryotic small subunit ribosomal RNA
Rfam family: Eukaryotic small subunit ribosomal RNA
Source: RNAcentral
ACCUGGUUGAUCCUGCCAGUAGUCAUAUGCUUGUCUCAAAGAUUAAGCCAUGCAUGUCUAAGUAUAAGCAACUAUACGGUGAAACUGCGAAUGGCUCAUUAAAUCAGUUAUCGUUUAUUUGAUAGUACCUUACUACAUGGAUAACCGUGGUAAUUCUAGAGCUAAUACAUGCUAAAAACCUCGACUUCGGAAGGGGUGUAUUUAUUAGAUAAAAAACCAAUGCCCUUCGGGGCUUUUUGGUGAUUCAUGAUAACUUUACGGAUCGCAUAGCCUUGCGCUGGCGACGGUUCAUUCAAAUUUCUGCCCUAUCAACUUUCGAUGGUAAGGUAUUGGCUUACCAUGGUAUCAACGGGUAACGGGGAAUUAGGGUUCGAUUCCGGAGAGGGAGCCUGAGAAACGGCUACCACAUCCAAGGAAGGCAGCAGGCGCGCAAAUUACCCACUCCCAGCACGGGGAGGUAGUGACGAAAAAUAACGAUGCUAAACUCAUACGAGGCUUAGCAAUCGGAAUGAGUACACUUUAAAUCCUUUAACGAGUAACAAUUGGAGGGCAAGUCUGGU